AGAAGCCAUUUUCGCAAUCUUAGGUAGCAAUUUGCAAGAAAGUGCCUUGGUUCGACUCUGUUGGUGACAAGAUAUAGCUUUUACACCAUUGGAUUUUUCUUUUUUGGACCCAGUCCACCAUAGAGAUAAAGUGCAUCUCACAGUCUAAGUUGGCAGGCAAGAAAUUUCCCUUUUAAUCAUCAUAAUAUGUAUUUAGUGCAUGGCUCGCUAUCAUAUUGCCGGGUUUACACUUUAAUCUUUU
RNAcentral lists this unclassified non-coding RNA (241 nucleotides) under Hevea brasiliensis (rubber tree). The record is from RNAcentral. Lineage: Eukaryota; Viridiplantae; Streptophyta; Magnoliopsida; Malpighiales; Euphorbiaceae.